GGCAGAGGUGCCGAGCGUUAGGCGGAAUCACUGGGCUUAAAGCGUGUGUAGGCGGUUCGUUAAGUGCCUUGUGAAAUCCCACGGCUCACCCGUGGAACUGCUGGGCAUACUGGCGGUCUUGAGCCACCUAGGGGCAACCGGAACAAACGGUGGAGCGGUGAAAUGCGUAGAUAUCGUUUGGAACGCCAAUGGUGAAAACAGGUUGCCGGGGGUGUGCUGACGCUGAGACACGAAAGCCAGGGGAGCAAACGGG
RNAcentral lists this ribosomal RNA (253 nucleotides) under uncultured bacterium. RNAcentral's name for it is "partial 16S ribosomal RNA". It matches the Rfam family "Bacterial small subunit ribosomal RNA", at positions 524 to 776 of the family's 1533-position model. The record is from RNAcentral.